This 1306-nucleotide long non-coding RNA is filed under the name Marmota monax (woodchuck). The record is from RNAcentral. Lineage: Eukaryota; Metazoa; Chordata; Mammalia; Rodentia; Sciuridae.
CAGAACCCAGUGCCUCACACAUGCUAGACAAGUGUUCUACCACUGAGCCACAAUCCCGCCCCCCCCCCACCUCUUUUUUUAAUCACAGCUACCUCACUUUCACUACCAGAACUCUAAAGUCUCCUUCCCCUGCCCUACUUUGUCUUUUUCAUAGAACUUUUACCAUUGUGUAUACCGUGUUAAUUUACACAUAUACACAUAUAGAUUGAUAGUCCACUGCUUAUCACCUCCCAGCAGAAUAUUAGCUUCACAAGGGUAGGAAUCUGUUUUAUUUGUUAAUGUGUCCAAAGCCAGGCACUUAAAUACUGGAUAAAUAAGCAAGUGACUCUCCCUUCAACCAUUUUUAUUAAUUCCCUUGAAUCCUCCAACCCUUACGGUUUACCUUAGAGGAAGGAAGGCAGAAGGAGAGAAGGAGGGAUAAAAGAGCUAGCAUUCAAGGCUAAAGCUGGACAUACCUGUAACAGGAGGCUGAGGCAGGAAGGUCACAAGUUUGAAGCCAGCAUGAAUAAUUUAGAGCCUAUCUGAUUUUUUUUUUUUCAAGUGCUGGGAAUGUUGCUCAGUGGCAGAGUACUUGCCUAGCAUGUGUGAGAUCCUACAUUCGAUCCCUAGUAUAGGGGAGGGAAAAAAAGGCAUCAUUACAUUCAAACAUAACAAUAAUCAUACUCUUUAUUUAUUUUGGUACUGAAGUUUGAACCCAGGGGUGCUUAACCACUAAGCUACAUCUCCAGUUCUUUUCAUUUUUUAUUGUGAUACAGGGUCUUGCUAAGUUGCUGAGAACCUCGCUAAAUUAUAGAGGCUGGCCUGGAAAUUCCAAUCCUCCUGCCUAGAUACUCAACUAUUUUAAAUUCAUAUUAAGUUAACCUAUUUAGAGACAAAGACUUUAUAAGCAAAAACUAUAUUUUUGUAAGAGAUUUUCCUAAAAACAGAAUGGUACAGAAUAAAAGAUACAGAGAAAAACUCACACAGAAACAGUCAUACAAUCCUUGACAAAGUGCCAAAAAUAUACAGUGGAGAAAAGAUAGCCCCUUUAACAAACGAUACUGGGGAAACCAGAUAUCCAUAUAAAUAAGAAUGAAACUAGAUCCAUAUCUCUCACCCUAUAACAUCAACUCAAAAUGAAUCGAAGAUCUAGGUAUAAUAUCAGAAAUUUUGCAACUAUAAGAAGACACAGGGGAAACCCUUCAACACAUAGGCACAGGCAAGAGCUUCCUGAAUAGGACUCUAAUAGCUCAGGAAAUAAUAGCAAGAAUUGCCCAAUGGAAUGACAUCAAAUUAAAAAGCUUCUGUGCAGCAAAGGAAACAACAG